AUUGAACGCUGGCGGCAGGCUUAACACAUGCAAGUCGAGCGGGGUGAUGGUGCUUGCACUAUCACUUAGCGGCGGACGGGUGAGUAAUGCUUAGGAAUCUGCCUAUUAGUGGGGGACAACAUCUCGAAAGGGAUGCUAAUACCGCAUACGUCCUACGGGAGAAAGCAGGGGAUCACUUGUGACCUUGCGCUAAUAGAUGAGCCUAAGUCGGAUUAGGUAGUUGGUGGGGUAAAGGCCUACCAAGGCGACGAUCUGUAGCGGGUCUGAGAGGCUCAUCCGCCACACUGGGACUGAGACACGGCCCAGACUCCUACGGGAGGCAGCAGUGGGGAAUAUUGGACAAUGGGGUGAACCCUGAUCCAGCCAUGCCGCGUGUGUGAAGAAGGCCUUAUGGUUGUAAAGCACUUUAAGCGAGGAGGAGGCUCUUUUGGUUAAUACCCAAGAUGAGUGGACGUUACUCGCAGAAUAAGCACCGGCUAACUCUGUGCCAGCAGCCGCCGUAA
This 503-nucleotide ribosomal RNA is filed under the name uncultured bacterium. Its description in RNAcentral is "partial 16S ribosomal RNA". It matches the Rfam family "Bacterial small subunit ribosomal RNA", at positions 30 to 523 of the family's 1533-position model. The record is from RNAcentral.